This 858-nucleotide ribosomal RNA is filed under the name uncultured Bacillota bacterium. Its description in RNAcentral is "bacterial SSU rRNA". It matches the Rfam family "Bacterial small subunit ribosomal RNA", at positions 58 to 948 of the family's 1533-position model. The record is from RNAcentral. Lineage: Bacteria; Bacillati; Bacillota.
CAAGUCGAACGGGGAAAGUGGAGCAAUCCAUGAGUACAGUGGCGUACGGGUGAGUAACACGUGGGUAAUCUACCUCUUAGUGGGGAAUAACCCUGGGAAACCGGGGCUAAUACCGCAUAAGCCUGAGAAGGGAAAGCAGCAAUGCGCUGAGAGAGGAGCCCGCGGCCGAUUAGCUAGUUGGUAGGGUAAAGGCCUACCAAGGCAGAGAUCGGUAGCCGGCCUGAGAGGGCACACGGCCACACUGGCACUGAAACACGGGCCAGACUCCUACGGGAGGCAGCAGUGGGGAAUCUUGCACAAUGGGGGCAACCCUGAUGCAGCGACGCCGCGUGAGCGAUGAAGCCCUUCGGGGUGUAAAGCUCUUUCGUCAGGGAAGAUGAUGACGGUACCUGGAGAAGCAGCUGCGGCUAACUACGUGCCAGCAGCCGCGGUAAUACGUAGGCAGCGAGCGUUGUUCGGAGUUACUGGGCGUAAAGGGUGUGUAGGCGGUUCUUUAAGUUUGGUGUGAAAUCUCCCGGCUCAACCGGGAGGGUGCGCCGAAUACUGAGGGACUAGAGUGCGGGAGAGGAAAGUGGAAUUCCUGGUGUAGCGGUGAAAUGCGUAGAUAUCAGGAGGAACACCGGUGGUGUAGACGGCUUUCUGGACCGUAACUGACGCUGAGACACGAAAGCGUGGGUAGCAAACAGGAUUAGAUACCCUGGUAGUCCACGCCCUAAACGAUGCAUAUUUGGUGUGGGUCAUUCAGUUGAUCCGUGCCGGAGCUAACGCGUUAAAUAUGCCGCCUGGGGAGUACAGUCGCAAGGCUGAAACUCAAAGGAAUUGACGGGGGCCCGCACAAGCGGUGGAGCAUGUGGUUCA